This 253-nucleotide ribosomal RNA is filed under the name uncultured bacterium. RNAcentral describes it as "partial 16S ribosomal RNA". It matches the Rfam family "Bacterial small subunit ribosomal RNA", at positions 524 to 776 of the family's 1533-position model. The record is from RNAcentral.
UACGUAGGUGGCAAGCGUUGUCCGGAAUUAUUGGGCGUAAAGCGCGCGCAGGCGGUCCUUUAAGUCUGAUGUGAAAGCCCUCGGCUCAACCGAGGAAGGUCAUUGGAAACUGGAGGACUUGAGUGCAGAAGAGGAAAGUGGAAUUCCAAGUGUAGCGGUGAAGUGCGUAGAGAUUUGGAGGAACACCAGUGGCGAAGGCGACUUUCUGGUCUGUAACUGACGCUGAGGCGCGAAAGCGUGGGGAGCAAACAGG